UGCCAGCAGCCGCGGUAAUACGGAGGAUCCAAGCGUUAUCCGGAUUUAUUAGGUUUAAAGGGUGCGUAGGCGGAAUUAUAAGUCAGUGGUGAAAUCCUGCAGCUUAACUGCAGCACUGCCAUUGAUACUGUUAUUCUUGAGUACGGUUGAGGUAGGCGGAAUGUGUAGUGUAGCGGUGAAAUGCUUAGAUAUUACACAGAACACCGAUUGCGUAGGCAGCUUACCAAACCGUAACUGACGCUGAGGCACGAAAGCGUGGGGAUCGAACAGGAUUAGAUACCCUGGUAGUCCACGCCGUAAACGAUGAUUACUCGUUGUGCGCGAUAUACAGUGCGUGACUGAGCGAAAGCAUUAAGUAAUCCACCUGGGGAGUACGUUCGCAAGAAUGAAACUCAAAUGAAUUGACGG
Molecule: ribosomal RNA, 408 nt
Filed under: uncultured Bacteroidota bacterium
Lineage: Bacteria; Pseudomonadati; Bacteroidota
Description: bacterial SSU rRNA
Rfam family: Bacterial small subunit ribosomal RNA
Source: RNAcentral